ACCCACCUUAACAAUUCCAAGAUUCGCAUCAGUUUUGCAAUUCGGAAGGCCCAAAGUAGAAUUUUUAUUCGAAAAGUCUAAAACGCCCUUCAGUAUUCAUCUCAUUUUCGAUCUUCACCAUGAACAGUUUGCAGCAACUGCUGCCACACCGCCGCCGCUGCCACCGUUCUCCUCGCCAUCACUGCCCCUUUACCUUCAAGUUGAGAGCUCCGGCUGACCUCAUUGGACCGGCCUCGCACGGCGAGAUAUGGGCCUAGGGAAAUGCGCGACAACCUCUAGUCGCAGCGGUCCUCCCCAAAUCGAGCCUCCUCGAGGGCCAGGGGGCUCGCCUGGGCUCGUGAGCUCAAGGCGACCUCGCCGAGUCUCGACGAUCGCACGGAGGUUCCGUGAAGUCAUCGAGCCUCCGUGAGGUCGUCGACCCUCGGCGACCCUCGCCGUCAGCCCAGACUACCUUGAGGCGAGGUCGCCCUGAGCUCACGAACCCAAGUCGAGCUCCCUGGCCGUCGGAGAGGCUCGGCCAGGGGAGGACUGCCAUGAUUAGGGUUUGUCGCACGCCUCUCCAAGGCCAUAUCUCGCCGUGCCGAGACUGUCCCAAUGAGGUAGGUUGGAGGUUAUCCAAUCGAAGUCGAUGGCGGCGGCGGCAGCACCAGCAGCGACAGCGCCGAUUGAGGUCCAGGCCCUGAAUGUUCCACGGGAAUUCCCAAAUUCGUACACGGAAUCAAUCUUUGAGAUCGAAAUCUGGGAAAUCAUCUGACACCGCACUCUACUUGUUCACCUCGGCUACUCUCAAAUCCAGUUGUCAUUUAGUUCUACGGACUUUCGGGACCACGGUGCAAUGGACCAAUUUGAUCUGAUUGGUGUUACCUGGACUAUCAUCUCCUUGGGACUGCACAUUGAUUCUCCUCACAUUCUGGAUGUGAAAUUUAUAAAUAUUUACAUCCGAUAACCCACCGUGUGGGCCAAGAAGAGUCUUAUGUAAUCGCAACGAAACAUGAGCUCUCUUUUUUUUUUCCUUUUUAUUCUAAUUACAAUUGGAUUUACUUCAAAUGAAAGAAACAAUUUGAAAGGCCA
Punica granatum (pomegranate) is the source of this 1071-nucleotide non-coding RNA. The record is from RefSeq and is a predicted model, not a curated record. Lineage: Eukaryota; Viridiplantae; Streptophyta; Magnoliopsida; Myrtales; Lythraceae.